Long non-coding RNA from Sebastes umbrosus (honeycomb rockfish), 183 nucleotides. RefSeq lists it as uncharacterized. NCBI's taxonomy places the organism in Eukaryota, Metazoa, Chordata, Actinopteri, Perciformes, Sebastidae. The record is from RefSeq and is a predicted model, not a curated record. The transcript is spliced from 3 exons.
UAUGUGAAAACAGCUCGCCGCCGGGUGAUGUUAUGAGCCCAGACACGAUGGCGUUUGGUUUUCCGACAUAUCUGGGACUUCCACAACAUGUACAAAGCAGCAACAGUGAUUAUUUCUUCCAUGGUUGAUAACGGAAAUAGCGGAAAGAAGACUUGUUGGUAUUUAUGAAGACAAGCCCAUUCU